RNAcentral lists this ribosomal RNA (229 nucleotides) under uncultured bacterium. RNAcentral describes it as "partial 16S ribosomal RNA". It matches the Rfam family "Bacterial small subunit ribosomal RNA", at positions 568 to 796 of the family's 1533-position model. The record is from RNAcentral.
UACGUAGGCGGAAUAUUAAGUCAGUGGUGAAAUCCUGCGGCUCAACCGUAGAACUGCCAUUGAUACUGAUAUUCUUGAAUGUAGUUGAGGUAGGCGGAAUGUGUAAUGUAGCGGUGAAAUGCUUAGAUAUUACACAGAACACCGAUUGCGAAGGCAGCUUACUAAACUAUGAUUGACGCUGAUGUACGAAAGCGUGGGGAGCGAACAGGAUUAGAUACCCUGGUAGUCC